AAAAACUUGUUUAUUUAUUGAAAAUAAAACGUGAUUACUAAAAGAGAGUAUAAUAACUCAAAUAAUAGCAGUACAAUCGAUUAUUGAUACUAGAUAAUCGAUUAUUAGACGACAGAAACCGAUUUUUCUGAUGAAGACUCGAUUAUUGCGCGUCAUGCUUUAUAAUUCCCCCUACCUUUAGGGCGAUACCUGCAAAAAUUCGUUAGACGUCUCCGACGCUCAAGUUAGAGAUCAUG
This 236-nucleotide long non-coding RNA is filed under the name Nicotiana benthamiana. RNAcentral describes it as "long non-coding RNA (NBEN_LNC013779)". Lineage: Eukaryota; Viridiplantae; Streptophyta; Magnoliopsida; Solanales; Solanaceae. The record is from RNAcentral.